UAGAUGUCUUUGCUGCCUUGGGCUGA
RNAcentral lists this non-coding RNA (26 nucleotides) under Mus musculus (house mouse). Lineage: Eukaryota; Metazoa; Chordata; Mammalia; Rodentia; Muridae. The record is from RNAcentral.